RNAcentral lists this unclassified non-coding RNA (426 nucleotides) under uncultured Hymenogaster. RNAcentral's name for it is "sequence contains ITS2". The stretch from base 1 to 154 matches the Rfam family "5.8S ribosomal RNA". Lineage: Eukaryota; Fungi; Basidiomycota; Agaricomycetes; Agaricales; Hymenogastraceae. The record is from RNAcentral.
AACUUUUGGCAACGUGUCACUUGGCUCUCGCAUCGAUGAAGAACGCAGCGAAAUGCGAUAAGUAAUGUGAAUUGCAGAAUUCAGUGAAUCAUCGAAUCUUUGAACGCACCUUGCGCUCCUUGGUAUUCCGAGGAGCAUGCCUGUUUGAGUGUCAUUAAAUUCUCAACCUUAUCAGUUUAUUUCUGAUAGUGGCUUGGAUGUGGGGGGUUUCUUGCUGGCUGACGUCGGCUCCCCUUAAAUGCAUUAGCUGGUGCCCCGUGUGGACUGUCUAUUGGUGUGAUAAUUAUCUACGCCAUGGAGGUCUGCAAUAAAAUAAGGGUUUAGCACUGCUUCUAACCGUCUGUUAAUUCGGACAAUACAUGACAAUUUGACCUCAAAUCAGGUAGGACUACCCGCUGAAUUUAAGCAUAUCAAUAAGCGGAGGCU